Molecule: ribosomal RNA, 655 nt
Filed under: Phlebia subserialis
Lineage: Eukaryota; Fungi; Basidiomycota; Agaricomycetes; Polyporales; Meruliaceae
Description: eukaryotic LSU rRNA
Rfam family: 5.8S ribosomal RNA (bases 249-402)
Source: RNAcentral
AAGUAAAAGUCGUAACAAGGUUUCCGUAGGUGAACCUGCGGAAGGAUCAUUAACGAGUUUUGAAAUGGGUUGUAGCUGGCCUUACGAAGGCAUGUGCACACCCUGCUCAUCCACUCUCAUACCCCUGUGCACCUAUUGUAGGCUUGGUGGGAAGACUGGUGUCACAACCAGUCGGAAAGCCUUGCCUAUGUUUCAACACAAACGCUUCAGUUUUAGAAUGUCACAUUUGCGUCUAACGCAUGAAAUACAACUUUCAGCAACGGAUCUCUUGGCUCUCGCAUCGAUGAAGAACGCAGCGAAAUGCGAUAAGUAAUGUGAAUUGCAGAAUUCAGUGAAUCAUCGAAUCUUUGAACGCACCUUGCACUCCUUGGUAUUCCGAGGAGUAUGCCUGUUUGAGUGUCAUGGUAUUCUCAACCUCUAAAGCUUUUGCGAUAGAGGCUUGGAUGUGGAGGUCGUGUUGGCGCAAGUCAACUCCUCUGAAAUGCAUUAGUGUGAAUCUUACGGAUCGCCUCCAGUGUGAUAAGUAUCUACGCUGUGGUGUUGAAGUAUAUAGGCAUUCAUGCUUCUAAUCGUCUCUUCAUUGAGACAAUUACUUGACAAUCUGACCUCAAAUCAGGUAGGACUACCCGCUGAACUUAAGCAUAUCAAUUAAGCG